This 292-nucleotide ribosomal RNA is filed under the name uncultured prokaryote. RNAcentral describes it as "partial 16S ribosomal RNA". It matches the Rfam family "Bacterial small subunit ribosomal RNA", at positions 505 to 796 of the family's 1533-position model. The record is from RNAcentral.
GCGCCAGCAGCCGCGGUAAUACGUAGGUGGCAAGCGUUGUCCGGAUUUAUUGGGCGUAAAGCGAGCGCAGGCGGUUUCUUAAGUCUGAUGUGAAAGCCCACGGCUCAACCGUGGAGGGUCAUUGGAAACUGGGAGACUUGAGUGCAGAAGAGGAAAGAGGAAUUCCACGUGUAGCGGUGAAAUGCGUAGAGAUAUGGAGGAACACCAGUGGCGAAGGCGACUUUCUGGUCUGUAACUGACACUGAGGCGCGAAAGCGUGGGGAGCAAACAGGAUUAGAAACCCGAGUAGUCC